Homo sapiens (human) is the source of this 759-nucleotide long non-coding RNA. The record is from Ensembl. Lineage: Eukaryota; Metazoa; Chordata; Mammalia; Primates; Hominidae.
AUACUCUGGUUUCUCUUCAAAUCGUAUAAAUCUUUCGCCUUUUACUAAAGAUUUCCGUGGAGAGAAACGAGUGUGAGUCUGAAACCAAUUUUUUGAGGCCUUGCGUUUCUUAGCAGGGCUUAUUUUAAGUGUUUUAAAAACAGAUGCGAUUCCGUUAAAUCGCGUGUGGAGCUAUGUAAAGUGUAUUAUAGAACAAAUGCGAGUUACGGUUUUUCAGCUUUUCGCUUUGUUAAGGUAGCUGAAGCAGAGAGGGAAGGCAGCAUACGUCAGCGUUUUCUUCUGUGCACUUAUCAGAAAUUCGAUCAAAGACUUUAAGAUUUUCACUAUUUCUUCUACCGCUAUCUUCUAAGAACUUCAAAGAGGAACCAGGAGUACGGGAAGAGCAUGAAAGUGGACAAGGAGCGUGACCAUGGAAGCACAGCACCACAGGGAGGGGUUUAGGCCUCCGGAUGACUGCGGGCAGGCCUGGAUAAUAUCCAGCCUCCCACAAGAAGCUGGUGGAGCAGAGUGUUCCCUGACUCCUCCAAGGAAACGGAGACUCCCUUUCACGGUUUGCUAAGUAACGGGUGCCUUCCCAGGCACUGGCAUUACCACUUGACCAAGGAGCCCUCAAGCGGCCCUGAUGCAGGUGUGACAGAGGGCUCACCUCUUGCCUUCUUGGUCACUUCUCACAAUGUCCCUUCAGCCCCUGUCCCUAUACCCGCCGGUUAUUCCUUGGUUAUACAACAAAGAGUAAUAUUAAAAGUUAAUGAUUAAUAA